AUUACUUAAAGACCAAGGCACCAUAUUUGAGGAUUUGUAGGCAUUCACUACAAGCAUUGAAUCUGACUCAAUCCACAUAUUUCUCCAUCCUCUAGCAUCUGCAAUUUCAAUUGCAGUCAUAAAACCACAAAGCUCUGCACUGAAAGCAGUGGCCAUGUCUGUUUUAGAAGCAAACGCGCACAAGAACUCUGCAUUGCUAUUUCUAAAAAUUCCUCCACACGCAGAUGCCGUAGGUGUUGAAGCACCAUCAGUAUUGCAUUUAAUCCAUUGAGGGGGAGGUGNNNN
RNAcentral lists this long non-coding RNA (285 nucleotides) under Trifolium pratense (red clover). Its description in RNAcentral is "long non-coding RNA (TPRA_LNC002514)". Lineage: Eukaryota; Viridiplantae; Streptophyta; Magnoliopsida; Fabales; Fabaceae. The record is from RNAcentral.